UGAAUGGUACCAAAAUGUUCU
RNAcentral lists this non-coding RNA (21 nucleotides) under Caenorhabditis elegans. Lineage: Eukaryota; Metazoa; Nematoda; Chromadorea; Rhabditida; Rhabditidae. The record is from RNAcentral.